This 239-nucleotide long non-coding RNA is filed under the name Carica papaya (papaya). RNAcentral's name for it is "long non-coding RNA (CPAP_LNC013469)". The record is from RNAcentral. Lineage: Eukaryota; Viridiplantae; Streptophyta; Magnoliopsida; Brassicales; Caricaceae.
UCCCCAUUGCAACUUCUUAGAGCGCCUAAUAUUUCUUCCUUAGUAAAUGGAGUCUCCAACCCAUCCCUUUCUUGCUCAUUCAAACUGUUGAACUCUAAGCCAGUCAAAGAAUGUCAAAGGAAAUUGCUUCCUCACUAUAUAAAUCGUACUUUCUCCCUCAAGUCUAAAUUCCCAUUAAUAAUUUGGCCAUUAAUCUCCAAUCCCUCAUAAUACUGCAUUUUCACCUGUGGCUGGCAAUU